AUGAUUUUACCAGGUGCACAACCCUUCUAACCUUCAUUUCCCUCAUUUGUCAAAAGGGAACAAGUAAGUCCUGCUCUCUCCACCUCAAAGGGGUUGUGAGAAUCCAGUGACAGAAUAUGGAGAAAAGGCCCUUUGUGAUGAGAAAGUAACAAGUAAAGCUACUAUAAAAUGGGAAUAAUGGUAUUUGAACUCCACAUCUUAGGUCCCCUGGAUUCCUAGGAGAUUUAGGAGGCCUUGGCUGGUCCCACCAGCUGCUAGCAUCUUCCCUUUUGAGAAUGCUUUCCAUUUAUUCUAAACAGUCAGCUCCUCAGAAAUAAAAUCUCCCAGGAGAAACCAGCGAGAAACAAAUACCAUCGUUAGAAAUGAGUAUUUGCUCAUCCUAAAUUCUGAGGAGUCCUGGGACCACUCUUCAUUUCUGGUGGAAUCUAAGACCUGGACACACUGCACAGCAGGAUGGAAAUUCCACCCCCGGUGAAAAGCUAGCAUGAGCUCCUGGUUUCCCAGUGCACUUGGUUGCUUUAGCAUUUCAAAUGAGGAGAUGAAAUCAUUCCAUCAGAUGCCAUGAAGACUGAAUAAAAAGAUAUUCUGACUUCCUUCUAGAAUAUGG
RNAcentral lists this long non-coding RNA (607 nucleotides) under Monodelphis domestica (gray short-tailed opossum). RNAcentral's name for it is "lncRNA (ENSMODG00000038547.1)". Lineage: Eukaryota; Metazoa; Chordata; Mammalia; Didelphimorphia; Didelphidae. The record is from RNAcentral.